This 72-nucleotide transfer RNA is filed under the name Marmota monax (woodchuck). RNAcentral's name for it is "tRNA.Thr". The record is from RNAcentral. Lineage: Eukaryota; Metazoa; Chordata; Mammalia; Rodentia; Sciuridae.
GGGGGUGUAGAUCAGUGGUAAACUGCUUGCCUAGUAUGUGCAAGACCCUGGGUUCCAUCCCCAGCACUGCAU